GAGAGACAGCUCUGUGGUUAACGGCACUCAUAGGACCAUACAGAAGUGUGAAAAGAGGGAUCUCAGCUUAUCGAAUAGAAUUUCAGCCACUGCUGAAUUACCUUUGGAUGGUCCACAAAGAAGUUGCAGAGAUACUCUCCUAGGAGAAACAGCCCCAUGAGCCACUUCAGGAUGGCUUGGCUUUCACUGACAACUGUCAAGAACUGUCCCCUGCCAUUUCACCUGAGCUGACCUGAUCUCCCCAGGGGAAUGAGCCUCGUCUUGCAAGUCCCCUUCUUUGGGUCCCUGGCAGCGCUGCUGCAGGAUACAAGGAACAGGAUGCUAUGACGAGAUAUGCAUUGAGAAGCUUCAGUCCUGCCUCCAUCCUUAUCUUCUUCUCCCUGGACCAAAAGUGAUAAUUGUCAUUUGAUCCUUAUUUAUUUUUAGAAAUAAAACUCUUAUGCAGA
RNAcentral lists this long non-coding RNA (446 nucleotides) under Homo sapiens (human). RNAcentral's name for it is "HSALNT0345897". The record is from RNAcentral. Lineage: Eukaryota; Metazoa; Chordata; Mammalia; Primates; Hominidae.